AUGACGUUAUGGGGAGAGACUGCUACGAAGCAGUCGCCGAAGGAGCAAACGUACAGUGAAUCUCUCAGGCCCAAGGACCUAUAGCGGACG
RNAcentral lists this non-coding RNA (90 nucleotides) under Sporolactobacillus inulinus. RNAcentral describes it as "Glycine sequence". It matches the Rfam family "Glycine riboswitch aptamer". From Rfam's summary of the family: This family represents the bacterial glycine riboswitch. RNAcentral also lists the same sequence under 1 other name. The record is from Rfam by way of RNAcentral. Lineage: Bacteria; Bacillati; Bacillota; Bacilli; Caryophanales; Sporolactobacillaceae.